Long non-coding RNA from Sapajus apella (tufted capuchin), 761 nucleotides. RefSeq lists it as uncharacterized. The record is from RefSeq and is a predicted model, not a curated record. NCBI's taxonomy places the organism in Eukaryota, Metazoa, Chordata, Mammalia, Primates, Cebidae. The transcript is spliced from 2 exons.
GAUUCAUGAGUCCAAAAAGGACAGUCUUUUCAUCUAUCCAUCUUAUAACUGACAUGGCUCCUAAGGAACAGCAAAACCUGAAGCAAAUUAUGGGAACAAGCAUUUGUCCACCACGCACAUGAAGCCACUCUUUAGUUUUCUACACCAGAAGUUCCAACAUCAAGCUACAUUCAAAGAGAGAAACAACACAUUCGAUACACAAGUUAUGAAGAGUCGGAAAUUCCUCAUAAGAUAGAACAUGUGCAAUUGAAUUCCAACUAUUAGGUUUUCUGUGGAAAAAAACAUACGUGUGUGCAUAUAUAUGGCCAUCUGAUCAUUUUAAAAGCAUACUCAGAAUACGUUAAAAAAACACCAUGAGUAUGAAUUAUGUAUGCUCUAAGUACUUAACUUCUCUUUCUGCAUUUAUGCCAUUGUUUCUUAUCUCUUUAUAUCUUGAACUUUUUAUUUCCCCCCUCUCUCACUCUAUGACUACUGAACAAAACUUUCAUUUCUAAUAUCCAACUUCAUUAACUCAGCAGGGAUGGCAGAUGUUUACUAUCACCAAAAUGCAGCGUAACACUUGCAUACUGAUUUAUGACAUGCAUCUUUAUAAACUGCUCGGUGAAAUGCAUACACAAUUGAUUGCAAAUUGGUCAUACCAAAUAUUGAGUACUUUAUUAAUUACUGGCAAAAGCUAAGGAGCCACACAAAAGCAUCAUAUCUGAAUAAGGAAUUUUAUUUGAAAUGUGAAAUUUCAUUAUGAAUAAAUUCCAUAAAAUGAA